This 240-nucleotide unclassified non-coding RNA is filed under the name soil metagenome. Its description in RNAcentral is "partial contains 5.8S ribosomal RNA, internal transcribed spacer 2, and large subunit ribosomal RNA". The record is from RNAcentral.
AAGACUAUAGACCUGCGGAGUACCUGCGGAAGGAUCAUUACAGGACUCGCAAGACUCCUACAACCCUGUGAACUUAACUAUAAGCACGUUGCUUCGGCGGGUGUCUCGGCGAGGGUUCUCCCUCCCCGGGGCGCUAAGCCCGCCGGCAGCCUACUAUACUCUGUCUCUUUGCGUUGGCAUCUCGAGUACAAACAAACAAGUUAAAACUUUCAACAAUGGAUCUCUAGAUCGGAAGAGCAC